UCCUUUCACUAGAAACAUGUGUUUCCCAAUUGUCAUUAGUUCCAACGCCCAAAUUGUCAUUUCCAUCCGGACAUUAUUUCUGAAGAAGCAUGUAAGAUUAUAAAGGUAAUCUAAUCUUUACCACCACAGCCAUGGGAAUAGAGACACAUGGAAGAUGGUCACAUGUGCUGGUGACUAACUCUGUGUCAGAAGGCAGGCAGCUCUUGGAUCAAAUCCUGGCACGUCAUUCUUCACCUAUUAUAGUCACCUCAGGGUCUCCUGAAACUGUCGGUUUCCAGAGGGAAGGCAGCCAUGGGCCCACUCCCUUCCCUGAAGCUGGCAGUUUAUCUGGUUCCAUCACUUGAGAAGUCUCACUGAAGAGAAAGCAAGAGCGGACAGAGUGGCGGCAACCUGCGUUGUUCAAAGGUGGAGGAACACAGUUAAUUCUACAAUGAUGGAGAAGGCAAAAUUUGCUUAAUAAUUACUCUAAGGGCAAAUGAAGACAUAUAUGCAGAUUUUGAUUUCAUGUUCAUCCCAGGUGUUUGUAACUCAAGGUUAAGCCUCCAAAUAAAGUCUCAACAAUAAA
Molecule: long non-coding RNA, 565 nt
Organism: Suricata suricatta (meerkat)
Lineage: Eukaryota; Metazoa; Chordata; Mammalia; Carnivora; Herpestidae
Exons: 3
Source: RefSeq, a predicted model, not a curated record